RNAcentral lists this ribosomal RNA (473 nucleotides) under uncultured bacterium. RNAcentral describes it as "bacterial SSU rRNA". It matches the Rfam family "Bacterial small subunit ribosomal RNA", at positions 335 to 797 of the family's 1533-position model. The record is from RNAcentral.
ACUCCUACGGGAGGCAGCAGUAGGGAAUAUUGCGCAAUGGGGGAAAGCCCAUGACGCAGCAAUGCCGCGUGAGUGAGGAAGGUUUUCGGAUUGUAAAACUCUGUCCUAGGGGAAGAAUGAUAUUAUGGUUAAUACCCAUAGUAAGUGACGGUACCCUAGAAGAAAGCACCGGCUAACUCCGUGCCAGCAGCCGCGGUAAUACGGAGGGUGCGAGCGUUAAUCGGAAUUACUGGGCNUAAAAGCGCAUGCAGGCGGCCUGUUAAGUCAGAUGUGAAAGCCCGGGGCUUAACCUCGGAAUUGCAUUUGAAACUGGCAGGCUAGAGUCUUGUAGAGGGGGUAGAAUUUCAGGUGUAGCGGUGAAAGUGCGUAGAGAUCUGAAGGAAUACCAGUGGCGAAGGCGGCCCCCUGACAAAGACUGACGCUAGAUGCGAAGCGCUGGGGAGCAAACGGAUUAGAUACCCUGGUAAGGCUCU